UACGGAGGAUGCGAGCGUUAUCCGGAUUUAUUGGGUUUAAAGGGUGCGUAGGUGGUAGAUUAAGUCAGCGGUGAAAGUUUGUCGCUUAACGAUAAAAUUGCCGUUGAAACUGGUUUACUUGAGUAUAGUUGAAGUAGGCGGAAUGCGUGGUGUAGCGGUGAAAUGCUUAGAUAUCACGCAGAACUCCGAUUGCGAAGGCAGCUUACUAAGUUAUAACUGACACUGAAGCACGAAAGCGUGGGUAUCAAACAGG
RNAcentral lists this ribosomal RNA (253 nucleotides) under uncultured Parabacteroides sp. RNAcentral's name for it is "partial 16S ribosomal RNA". It matches the Rfam family "Bacterial small subunit ribosomal RNA", at positions 524 to 776 of the family's 1533-position model. The record is from RNAcentral. Lineage: Bacteria; Pseudomonadati; Bacteroidota; Bacteroidia; Bacteroidales; Tannerellaceae.